GUCGGUGUUGAUGACGCUGGGGGUCCACCCGUUCCCAUCCCGAACACGGAAGUUAAGCCCAGUGGUGCCGAAAAUACUUGGCUGGAGACGGCCUGGGAAAAUAGGGAAAUGCCGACA
This 117-nucleotide ribosomal RNA is filed under the name Candidatus Scatavimonas merdigallinarum. RNAcentral also lists the same sequence under 2 other names. The record is from RNAcentral. Lineage: Bacteria; Bacillati; Bacillota; Clostridia; Eubacteriales; Oscillospiraceae.